Molecule: ribosomal RNA, 491 nt
Filed under: uncultured bacterium
Lineage: Bacteria
Description: bacterial SSU rRNA
Rfam family: Bacterial small subunit ribosomal RNA
Source: RNAcentral
GAUGAACGCUAGCUACAGGCUUAACACAUGCAAGUCGAGGGGAAACGACAUCGAAAGCUUGCUUUUGGUGGGCGUCGACCGGCGCACGGGUGAGUAACGCGUAUCCAACCUGCCCACCACUUGGGGAUAACCUUGCGAAAGUAAGACUAAUACCCAAUGAUAUCCCACGAAGGCAUCCGAAUGGGAUUAAAGAUUUAUCGGUGAUGGAUGGAUCCGCGUCUGAUUAGCCUGUUGGCGGGGUAACGGCCCACCAAGGCGACGAUCAGUAGGGGUUCUGAGAGGAAGGUCCCCCACACUGGUACUGAGACACGGACCAGACUCCUACGGGAGGCAGCAGUGAGGAAUAUUGGUCAAUGGGCGCAGGCCUGAACCAGCCAAGUCGCGUGAGGGAGGACGGUCCUACGGAUUGUAAACCUCUUUUGUCGGGGAGUAACGUGCGGGACGGGUCCCGUAUUGAGAGUACCCGAAGAAAAGCAUCGGCUAACUCCGUG